GACGAACGCUGGCGGCGUGCUUAACACAUGCAAGUCGAACGGAAAGGCCCUGCUUUUGUGGGGUGCUCGAGUGGCGAACGGGGGAGUAACACGUGAGUUACCUGCCCUUGACUUUGGGAUAACUUCAGGAAACUGGGGCUAAUACCGCAUAGGAGCUCCUGCUGUAUGGUGGGGGUUGGAAGGUUUCGGCGGUUGGGGAUGGACUCGCGGCUUAUCAGCUUGUUGGUGGGGUAGUGGCUUACCAAGGCUUUGACGGGUAGCCGGCCUGAGAGGGUAACCGGCCACAUUGGGCCUGAGAUGCGGCCCAGACUCCUACGGGAGGCAGCAGUGGGGUGUAGUGCACAAUGGGCGGAAGCCUGAUGCAGCAACGCCGCGUGCGGGAUGACGGCCUUCGCGUUGUGAACCGCUUUCGCCUGUGACGAAGCGUGAGUGACGGUAAUGGGUAAAGAAGCACCGGCUAACUACGUG
RNAcentral lists this ribosomal RNA (468 nucleotides) under uncultured bacterium. RNAcentral describes it as "partial 16S ribosomal RNA". It matches the Rfam family "Bacterial small subunit ribosomal RNA", at positions 28 to 507 of the family's 1533-position model. The record is from RNAcentral.